Molecule: non-coding RNA, 30 nt
Filed under: Mus musculus (house mouse)
Lineage: Eukaryota; Metazoa; Chordata; Mammalia; Rodentia; Muridae
Source: RNAcentral
UCGACACAGAUCUCCGUGUCCAAGCUGUGA